CCUCCACAAUGCACGAAAGUGUGAUGGGGUUACCCCGAGUGCCUUCCGUUGAGGAGGGCUUUUAACUGGUGUAACAAGCCAGUAGAAUAAGGGGGGGGGCAAGAUUGGUGUCAGCCGCCGCGGUAAUACCAACCCCCCGAGUGGUAGGGACAAUUAUUGGGCUUAAAGCGUUCGUAGCCGGCUUGGAUAGUCUCCCGUUAAAUCCAGCGACUAAUCGUUGGGCUGCGGAAGAUACUUUCAAGCUAGGAGGCGGAAGAGGUCGGCGGUAUUCCUAGGGGAGGGGUGAAAUCCUAUAAUCCUAGGAGGACCACCAGUGGCGAAGGCGGCCGACCAGUACGCGCUCGACGGUGAGGGACGAAAGCUGGGGGAGCGAACCGGAUUAGAUACCCGGGUAGUCCCAGCCGUAAACGAUGCAGGCUAGGUGUCGGGGUGGCUACGUGCCGCUUCGGUGCCGCAGGGAAACCGUUAAGCCUGCCGCCUGGGGAGUACGACCGCAAGGUUGAAACUUAA
Molecule: ribosomal RNA, 510 nt
Filed under: uncultured archaeon 63-A7
Lineage: Archaea
Description: bacterial SSU rRNA
Rfam family: Archaeal small subunit ribosomal RNA
Source: RNAcentral